Molecule: long non-coding RNA, 1226 nt
Filed under: Mus musculus (house mouse)
Lineage: Eukaryota; Metazoa; Chordata; Mammalia; Rodentia; Muridae
Description: RIKEN cDNA B230217O12 gene
Source: RNAcentral
GGGCCUGGCGUGGCGCACCCGGCGGUGCUGGCACUCGUCUCUCGGUGACCAGAGAGCAGUGUGAGGAUUUGGCAGCGACGUGUUGACGCUGCGCUUGCGUACCAUACGUAGGGCAAGACUGGAAGGCCGCUGGGAAAAUACCAGCAUCCCGAACGCAAAAAACGGACAGCGGGUCCACGUGCUAGGGAUUCGACCGCAUCCAAUGCAGAGGGCAGAAGAGGGCGCCGCAACUCUGAGCAGGGUUGAGAAGCCUGUUUGGAUCCAGCUCUGCCAUUCUGGGCCGUGAGGUUACCAAUGUAGCAGUGAAGAAAGCCGGGGAUCACAGGCUCUCCUCCUUGUUAUAACAUUAGUAACAACACAAGAGGAGAGGAAACCAAGAGAGAAGGUAAGGGGAGACUCGAGUCUUUCUCAUGCUUUGGUUGUUUGCUUCUGCUAUGCUCAAAAGCAGGUAAGCAUAGCCUUGCUUUCUGUAAACUAAAACGCUGGCAACAUCCUCUGUUAUUUGUUGGACAUUGAGCUGUGUUCCUUGCCACGUUCAAGGUCCUUGUUCCUGCUCCAUCCUAGAGCACACAAUGUUUGUUGUUAUUAUUCAUACUACUUAUGAGGUUUGGUCAGUUUAUCAACCAUAAUAAUUUUCCUGGCUAAUUACAUGGCAGUUUGUAUUUUCACAAUGUCCUGCAGCCACAACUUGUGUAGGGAGUGAUGUUUAGGCGGGCUACAAGUUGUGUGUGAUGGAUAUUUAACUUUGCAUACUUAUUAUAAGCACAAUAAAAUAUAUGUUUGGCUAUGGGUUAAUAUCAAUACUCAAUGAUUUAUCUGCCUGGUCCCUAAUUUCUAAGACGCACAAGUUAGCUAGAACUGUAACUGAGCCAGUAGGUAGAUUUCCUACUCCCGUUCCGAAUGCUGGGAGAGGCACUAAUGUAAAGCCAGUAGGUAGAUUUCCUACUCCCGUUCCGAAUGCUGGAGGAGGCACUAAUGUAUAGCCAGUAGAUAGAUUUCCUACUCCCGUUCCGAAUGCUGGAGGAGGCACUAAUGUAUAGCCUGCCUAGUGCUUGGAUGCAGUUGUUGAUGCAGUUGGACUCACCUCAACCACUGCUUUGAGGAAACCCAAGAGGAGGCUCCCUUUACCCUUGAAAACACCCUAGGUGCCUGAAGUACCUCAAUUGGAACCUCCUGUAUUUAUUCUAUUAAGCCCAUAAUAAAUUUAGUUCUUUAUAAAAACGGGA